RNAcentral lists this long non-coding RNA (3809 nucleotides) under Papio anubis (olive baboon). RNAcentral's name for it is "lncRNA (ENSPANG00000048094.1)". The record is from RNAcentral. Lineage: Eukaryota; Metazoa; Chordata; Mammalia; Primates; Cercopithecidae.
AUGUCACCCCCGUGUCUCAAAACGAAAACAUCCCUUUGUCUUCUAGCACCUUCCAGAACGGGGCAGUGGAAACUAGUGUUGGGACAAAGGAGGCGAGCAGGGCCUUUUCGGGGCUCACAGAGGACCCCUCGGAGGCGCGGCGGCGGGGGAGAGCGCGACAGUCCUCCAACCCCCGCCAACCGGGCAGGGGCCGCUCCCGAGGUGACAGAAGGAGGCGGGAGGUGGAGGAGAGAAGGUCCCGCCCCACCUCGCUCUCCUUUACGGGAAGUGAUGUGGGGCCAGGCGGAAAAUACCCGCCAAGAACCCAAAAAAGGCCAGCGGCGGGUGGACGCGGCGCGCGGGGACUCGAGCCGGGCGGGGACAGGACUGCGGGGCGAGCCAGGCGGUGGCUCGUUCCUGUGUUCCGGAGCUCCUGCUUGAAUGUGGAAGAAUCAACGCAGUCAGGAAUCAGUAGGUCGGUUUUUAGUCUCCAUAUUCCUGAUUAUUAACUAUGUGAUAUCACACCAGUAUCUCUCAGUUGGGGUUGAUUUUCUCGCCUGCCCCACCCCACAUGGGACAUUUAGCAAUGCCUGGCGACGUUUUUGACUGUCACAACUGGGGAGUAACUCCUGGCAUUUAGUGGGUGGAGGCCAGGGAUGCCGCAAAACAUUCCCAGUACACAGGACAGCCCCCAGCAAAGGAUUAUCCUGCCUAAAAUGUCAACAGUGCCGAGGCUAAGAAACCCUGCAUUAGACAAACCUCUUUGGCUUGCAGUUUCCCAAGUUACACGUUCUCGCCAUCAUGUAAAACUAAGCCUAACUCUACCACUGUUGUCUUUCUAACCUCUCCCUCACCCCAAUUCUUUUUUCUUUUUUCUUUUUUUUUUUUUUUUUUUUUUUGAGACGGAGUCUGGCUCUGUCGCCCAGGCUGGAGUGCAGUGGCCGGAUCUCAGCUCACUGCAAGCUCCGCCUCCUGGGUUCCCUCACCCCAAUUCUAAGUCAGUAAAUAUGGGGUAGGGCUCAGCCUGUUAUUUAUUUAUUUAUUUAUUUAUUUAUUUAUUUAUUUAUUGUCUCCACACGGGCUUCUGAUGGGCAGUUGCAGUUGAGGCUGAGAACCACUGCCCCCAGGGAUCAUGCGAAAUGGGGUUCUCGUGGAGGUGCCAGGUUGGCCAUAAGAGAGGAGUGGACCCUCUCGGAACAGCCUACCAGCAGGAGGAAGUGAGAGGCCUGUCUAUUGCGUGCUUCCACGUGAGCAGAAGCCACAUGCAUGAGCGACCACAGAGAACAUGUACCUGAAGGGUUACACAGGGACUUGGGCUCUCAGUUUCUGCACGAUAAGCUCUCAGCUGCCGGGAAUGUCUACUUCCCAGAUUUCCGGCUGACCACCAUACCCUGGAAAGGAAAUGAUAAAACGGGACAGUUUCUUUAUUAACACCCUGAUUCUAGCUUCACUAGAGCUUCUCUGGGAGGUUGAAAAUCAGUAACAAAAAACCUCACCCUGAGUCAUCAGCCCAUUUUGCCACCCAGAUAAGGAAACCACAUUUGUUACACUUACAGAAUUGUGUAAUUUAAGAGCUGGUAGGGACCUUGGAAAUUGUAGCUCAGGCUCCCCUCCCAGAAGUCCAGAGCUGUACCUCAGGUCACGUGGCUCAUUGAUGGCAGGGAUGGUUCCAGAAGCCUGGUCUGCUGGUUCCCUGGUGUGUUCUUUUUAUGUUCUUAUUCUAAUAUUUCUUGAUUGGAACCAGUGGUACUGUGGACAAUCCAAAAUUGUGUGUAUUGUUCAAAGGAAGUGACUUCUAGAUGGAACUUUGCUAACACCCAGAGUCUCUUCCUUGAACUCCUCUGAAAUAUGUUAGGAGGCAAAACAAGUAUAUCAUGAUUUCCCUGUGUUAAAGCAGUGCAGAAAUACCCAAGUGCCUUCUCUGUGCCAGCUGCUGGUUAAAGGCCUGUACUGCUACUUUUCCGUUCCAAUUCUUGCGCCUCCCUGCCAUAGCCCAUUUUUCACACAAAGCCAGUGAUGUCCAAAAAAAAGGAAUUCACACUCCUGAGGAGCAUGAAACAAAAUUUUAAAAAGUUAAAGGAAUUCAGGUCAUAUCCUUCUGCUUAAAAUCCCCUAGUUGCUUUCAUUGUAGUAGGUGUGAGAUCCACAUAGGUAGCUGUGGUCUGUAAGGGCCUCUAGUUUCCUUUUUUUCCCUUCUCCCUUCCUUUCCUACUUUCCCUUCUCCCUUCCGUUCCCCCUUCCCUUCUCCCUUCCUUCCCUUCCUUUCUUUUCUAUCUUCCCUUCCCUUCUUUCUUGUCUUUGUCACCCAGCUCACUGCAGCCUCAACAUCCUGGGCUCAAGUGGAUCCUCCUACCUCAGCCUCCCAAGUAACUAGGACCACAGGAACAUGUCACCAUGCUGGGCUAAUUUUUGUAUUUUUAGUAGAGAUGAGUUUUUACCAUGUUGGCCAGGCUGGUCUUGAACUCCUGACCUCAAGUGAUCUGCCUGCCUUGGCCUCCCAAAGUGCUGGGAUUACAGCUGUGAGCACUUCGCCCAUCCUGGACUUUAUUUUUAAAAUGAAAUCAGAAUGCCAGUUUAUUGAUACAUGAGAAGUGGAACUGCUAAGCAUAAUAGAUUCCUUUCUUUGAAGACAGCGUAUGCUUCCUAUAGGAAAAAUAUCCAGGUGAAGCAGAUAUAAAAGGAGAAAGCUACUGGGUAAGUAUAGACUCAGCACCCAGUGAAUUGGAAAUCAAAAAGACCCAAGAGCUUUGAUGCUGGAGAAAGAUUACCAUGUUAAUGGCUCCUCAAAACUGGCUGGAUGUGAAAAUUGCACAGGAAGCUUUUGUUUAAAACAUACCCACAAAAGAGUGUAAAUUGGUUCAACUAUUGUGGAAGACAGUGUGGUGAUUCCUCAAGGAUCUAGAACUAGAAUUACCAUUUGACCCAGCAAUCCCAUUACUGGGUGUAUACCCAAAGGAUUAUAAAUCAUGCUACUAUAAAGACACGUGCACACAUAUGUUUAUUGUGGCACUAUUCACAAUAGCAAAGACUUGGAACCAACUCAAAUGUCCAUCAAUGAUAGAUUGGAUUAAGAAAAUGUGGCACAUAUACACCAUGGAAUACUAUGCAGCCAUAAAAAAGGAGGUGUUUAUGUCCUUUGCAGAGACACGGAUAAAGCUGGAAACCAUCAUUCUCAGCAAACUGUCACAAGGACAGAAAACCAGACACCGCAUGUUCUCACUUAUAGGUGAGAAUUGAACAAUGAGAACACUUGAACACAGGGCAGGGAAUAUCACACACUGCAGCCUGUUGUGGGGUGAGGGAAGGGGGAGGGAUAGCAUUAGAAGAAAUACCUAAUGUAAAUUUUGAGUUGAUGGGUGCAGCAAACCAGCAUGGCACAUGUACACCUAUGUAUCAAACUUGCAUGUUGUACACAUGUACCCUAGAACUUAAAGUAUAAUAAUAAUAAUUAAAAAAAACAUACCCACAAGGAACAACAACACAUUUUUCAGUCUCUCCUUUGGAGAUUCUAAUUUAUUAGGUUUGUGGUGAGGGCUCGGGAAUCUAUGUUUUAUUUAAAAUACUGCUGUAGUGAUUGAUGGUGGACAGCCUGGUUUGGGAACCAGUGCCUAGCUCACCUUUACUUCCAGCAUGAGUAAACUCAGGCUGGAAGAGAUCAUAUGUCUCAUGCAGAGUCACACAGCAAGUGAGUGGGAAGAUAGAAUUCAAAUCUCCCUGUCCUCUGUAUGCAUCGUUCAAACAACAUAGUAAGAUUCUCAGGGACAGAGGCAGCACAGCCUCGGAAAUUGUUGGUUUCUUAGUUUUUUCCUCUAUAUACAUGUAACUAACCA